Molecule: ribosomal RNA, 495 nt
Filed under: uncultured bacterium
Lineage: Bacteria
Description: partial 16S ribosomal RNA
Rfam family: Bacterial small subunit ribosomal RNA
Source: RNAcentral
GAUGAACGCUGGCGGCGUGCCUAAUACAUGCAAGUAGAACGCUGAAGGAGGAGCUUGCUCUUCUGGAUGAGUUGCGAACGGGUGAGUAACGCGUAGGUAACCUGCCUGGUAGCGGGGGAUAACUAUUGGAAACGAUAGCUAAUACCGCAUGACAACAGUUAUUGCAUGAUAACUGUUUAAAAGGGGCAACUGCUCCACUACCAGAUGGACCUGCGUUGUAUUAGCUAGUUGGUGAGGUAACGGCACACCAAGGCGACGAUACAUAGCCGGCCUGAGAGGGGGGUCGGCCACCCUGGGACUGGGACACGGCCCAGACUCCUUCGGGGGGCAGCAGUAGGGAAUCUUCGGCCAUGGACGGAAGUCUGACCGCGCAACGCCGCGGUAGUGAAGAAGGGUUUCGGAUCGUAAAGCUCUGUUUUUAGGGAAGAACGAGUGUGAGGGUGGAAAGUUCACACUGUGACGGUACCUAACCAGAAAGGGACGGCUAACUACGUG